UACACAAAUUUGGUUAAUGAAAAUAGUUGACAGAUUGAUUUUGCAACUUUUUUCCUAAAUAAUUUGCUAUAUAUCUAAUUUAUUGAAAAUUUGACUACAAUUUUAUUCGAAUGUUUUGAAAUUUGUGAUGAAUUCAUUUUCAUUUGUCAAAUAAUGAUCAUGAUAUAGUGAUUCUUUUGAAUAUUCGAGAUUUUAGAUCAUAAUGAAAAAGAGAAACCCGGCGACGAUACAUGGACGACAAACAAACCUAUAGAAUUUAUGAACGAAUGGAUCCAAUGGAUUCGUAUGUCUAUAAAUUUGAACAAAACAUCCCAUCAUAUCAUAUCAACAUUGUCAUCGUCCAAUCUGAUUCCCGUGGUAUUCGAAUAAAUUCUUUAUUCAAUUUUUUUUUCAAUGACUGUUUUUGUCAUCGUUUUCAAAAAUGCAUAAUUAUUCAUUCAUCCUUCAAGCUAACGGCAUCUCUCUUUCCCUAUAUACAGACAGUCAACCAACCAACCAACCAACUCACAUAAAGAAUAAUUUUUAAAAAUAGAAUUUUUAUUCCAAUUGAGAAAUCAUCAUCAUGGCCAUUAGGUACGGGUUUAUUAUGUUAUUGAUGAUGAUCUAUCUUGUAUUGUCUGCCUUUUACAUAAAUUUCCAGUUCCAGUAUCAUUCACAUAUUCCAUCUAUAUUUGGUUGAUGACUGAGAAUCGUGUUCGAUACAUAUAAAUGAUGAAAAAAAAGUGCUAACCUGAAAUAAAUUUUUGAAACCAUUAACCGA
Molecule: non-coding RNA, 760 nt
Organism: Dermatophagoides farinae (American house dust mite)
Lineage: Eukaryota; Metazoa; Arthropoda; Arachnida; Sarcoptiformes; Pyroglyphidae
Source: RefSeq, a predicted model, not a curated record